This 1310-nucleotide long non-coding RNA is filed under the name Anser cygnoides (Swan goose). RNAcentral describes it as "lncRNA (ENSACDG00005005581.1)". The record is from RNAcentral. Lineage: Eukaryota; Metazoa; Chordata; Aves; Anseriformes; Anatidae.
CUCAAUUUCAGCUAGACAAGCAGCCACAAUGCAAGCUGGCAUGCUUUCAGAGGCAUAUAUGACUUAGUAACUCACUGAUGUGAAUGCCGAAAGCCUAGCUUCACUUUAAAAUGUUAAUAUUUUAAUUCUUAUGCUCUCUUACUUUCUGAUACAGAUUGGAUGUUUACUUGCAUUAACGGUAUUCUCAGAAAAUAGCUGCCAGAAAACAGACUCUGAAAAGUACAAAACCUCUUGAGUUGUAUGUGGUAUAAUUCAUCCCCUUCCCCCACAUUUAAAACAUAGUAACUUUAUGUGUUUUCUUUCUAAGCAUAUUUCAUCUUUAACAGGAGGUUAAGCAAAACUUGGUUUGUCUAGACCAUCACUGCUUCAAAGACUGAAUGGCAACAGAACAAAAAAUCCUUAUCUUAUUUGCCUUUGCUAGUAAAGGGUUUGUGUAGUCAUGUUAGCCAGGGCGUUUAUGCAAGUCUUGGGACCAUUUACACAGCAAUCAGAAAACGUAUCUCUUUCCAAACAGUUUCUCAAUGUGAUUACAUAUCCUAGCUAUUAUUUGUGUUUCUUUUAGGAUUCUUUUAGGGUGGACCGUAUGCCACAUUUGGGUGAAUUUCACUGGGACUGGAUGACUUCUGAACUUCAGGAAUCUUUUCAGAAUCAUGACAUAAAUUCUUGUUCUGCUGGUGAUGGUGAUAAGGGGUGUUGUGAUGGGUCAACACGACAAGAUACAAGGUAAGAAAGAAUCCUCUGAAGGCCAGUCUCCAUAGUAGUUGAAGAAAAAGUCCUGGAUCUUUCCCCUAGGAGUUCAGGAAAGAGUAAGUUUUCCUUUUUUCCUUUUCAGACAAAAUCUUUAAAAUGCAUAUGUGUCACUCAUGUCUUUUACCACAUGUUAAAACGUAGUCAUAUAUGUGUUUUUCUGAUGAUUACUCCAGAUUAAAGAACAAAACAGUGUUAGAAGGAAGGAGUGAAAUCAGAUUUAAAGAUUGGUUAUAUCCAAUCUUACCUAAAAGCUUCCAGUAGACUAAAACCCAAAGCUUCCUUUUUCUCUCAAAACCAUGCCAGAUUUUUUGUUAAAUCUGCCUCAUCUUGUUCAGACCCAACACAGCUCAUGUUAUCCUCUGGGUAUGCCUCUGUCAGCCUGGAAAAGUUUAGGUUUCAAUGAGGCUCUAACCCCUCAAGUCAGAUGAUUUUAUCUGUUUGUAAUGUUGGCACCUGUUCCUGUCACUUAUAUAGUAGCAGUUUACUUUAUUAUUAUUAUUAUUUUCUUCAGAAAGCUGGCAAUCUCAACCACAGUAGUGUUUCUGUCUAAUCCUUUCUGG